RNAcentral lists this ribosomal RNA (253 nucleotides) under uncultured bacterium. RNAcentral's name for it is "partial 16S ribosomal RNA". It matches the Rfam family "Bacterial small subunit ribosomal RNA", at positions 524 to 776 of the family's 1533-position model. The record is from RNAcentral.
UACAGAGGUCUCAAGCGUUGUUCGGAUUCAUUGGGCGUAAAGGGUGUGUAGGUGGCGCGCUAAGUCGGGUGUGAAAUUUCGGAGCUUAACUUCGAAACUGCAUUCGAUACUGGCGUGCUUGAGGACUGGAGAGGAGACUGGAAUUUACGGUGUAGCAGUGAAAUGCGUAGAUAUCGUAAGGAAGACCAGUGGCGAAGGCGGGUCUCUGGACAGUUCCUGACGCUGAGGCACGAAGGUCAGGGGAGCAAACGGG